RNAcentral lists this ribosomal RNA (807 nucleotides) under uncultured cyanobacterium. RNAcentral's name for it is "bacterial SSU rRNA". It matches the Rfam family "Bacterial small subunit ribosomal RNA", at positions 65 to 904 of the family's 1533-position model. The record is from RNAcentral. Lineage: Bacteria; Bacillati; Cyanobacteriota.
AACGAAAGUUUUUUAAACUUUAGUGGCGGACGGGUGAGUAACACGUGAGAAUUUACCUUUAGGAGGGGAAUAACAAUUGGAAACAGUUGCUAAUGCCGCAUAUUAUUAAAAAAAAUAAAAGAAGAAAUUCGCCUAAAGAAAAGCUUGCGUCUGAUUAGCUAGUUGGUGGGGUAAAGGCCUACCAAGGCGACGAUCAGUAGCUGGUUUGAGAGGAUGACCAGUCACACUGGAACUGAGACACGGUCCAGACUCCUGCGAGAGGCAGCAGUGGGGAACUUUCUGCAAUGGGCGAAAGCCUGACAGAGCAAUACCGCGUGAGGGAAAUAGAAAGCCCAUAGGGUUGUAAACCUCUUUUGUUAAGGAAGAAGUUCUGACGUUACUUAACGAAUAAGCAUCAGCUAACUCCGUGCCAGCAGCCGCGGUAAUACGGAGGAUGCAAGUGUUAUCCGGAAUCAUUGGGCGUAAAGCGUCUGUAGGUGGUUUACUAAGUCUAUUGUUAAAGCUUGAAGCUCAACUUCAAAAAUGUACUAGAAACUAGUAAACUUGAGAAUAGUAGGGGUAAAGGGAACUUCCAGUGGAGCGGUGAAAUGCGUAGAUAUUGGAAGGACCACCGAAGGCGAAGGCACUUUACUGGGCUAUUUCUGACACUAAGAGACGAAAGCUAGGGGAGCAAAUGGGAUUAGAUACCCCAGUAGUCCUAGCCGUAAACGAUGGAUACUAGAUGUUGUGUGUUUCGAUCCAUGCAGUGUCGAAGCUAACGCGUUAAGUAUCCCGCCUGGGAAUUAUGCUCGCAAGAGUGAAACUCAA